RNAcentral lists this ribosomal RNA (468 nucleotides) under uncultured bacterium. RNAcentral's name for it is "partial 16S ribosomal RNA". It matches the Rfam family "Bacterial small subunit ribosomal RNA", at positions 28 to 507 of the family's 1533-position model. The record is from RNAcentral.
GACGAACGCUGGCGGCGUGCUUAACACAUGCAAGUCGAACGGAGAGGCCCUGCUUUUGUGGGGUGCUCGAGUGGCGAACGGGUGAGUAACACGUGAGUAACCUGCCCUUGACUUUGGGAUAACUUCAGGAAACUGGGGCUAAUACCGGAUAGGAGCUCCUGCUGCAUGGUGGGGGUUGGAAAGUUUCGGCGGUUGGGGAUGGACUCGCGGCUUAUCAGCUUGUUGGUGGGGUAGUGGCUUACCAAGGCUUUGACGGGUAGCCGGCCUGAGAGGGUGACCGGCCACAUUGGGACUGAGAUACGGCCCAGACUCCUACGGGAGGCAGCAGUGGGGAAUAUUGCACAAUGGGCGGAAGCCUGAUGCAGCAACGCCGCGUGCGGGACGACGGCCUUCGGGUUGUAAACCGCUUUCGCCUGUGACGAAGCGUGAGUGACGGUAAUGGGUAAAGAAGCACCGGCUAACUACGUG